Molecule: ribosomal RNA, 253 nt
Filed under: uncultured bacterium
Lineage: Bacteria
Description: partial 16S ribosomal RNA
Rfam family: Bacterial small subunit ribosomal RNA
Source: RNAcentral
UACGGGGGGGGUAAGCGUUGCUCGGAAUUACUGGGCGUAAAGCGCACGUAGGCGGCUUUCUAAGUCGGGGGUGAAAUCCUGGAGCUCAACUCCAGAACUGCCUUCGAUACUGGAAAGCUCGAGUCCGGGAGAGGUGAGUGGAACUGCGAGUGUAGAGGUGAAAUUCGUAGAUAUUCGCAAGAACACCAGUGGCGAAGGCGGCUCACUGGCCCGGUACUGACGCUGAGGUGCGAAAGCGUGGGGAGCAAACAGG